GCAUGUGCACGUCCAACCUUUUCUAUUACACACCCGUGCACCUUUUGUAGGUCCUCGAAAGAGGAUCUAUGUAUUUCAUCAUCACACCUAUCGUAUGUCUAGAAUGUCAUCGUCGACCACUGGGCGGCGAAAUAAAUAAUACAACUUUCAGCAACGGAUCUCUUGGCUCUCGCAUCGAUGAAGAACGCAGCGAAUUGCGAUAAGUAAUGUGAAUUGCAGAUUUUCAGUGAAUCAUCGAAUCUUUGAACGCACCUUGCGCUCCUUGGUAUUCCGAGGAGCAUGCCUGUUUGAGUGUCAUUAAAUUCUCAACCAUGACUUUGUUGACAUGGCUUGGAGUUGGGGGUUGCUGGCUUGUUUGUCAGCUCUCCUGAAAUACAUUAGCGGUGGACAAGCAAGGCCUUCCGACGUGAUAAUGAUCGUCGUGGGGCGGAGCAUCAACGUCUGUCUGCUUCUAAAUCCCAGAUGCCUUAGCUAGACAUCAUUUCGAACGCUUGACCUCAAAUCAGGUAGGACUACCCGCUGAACUUAAGCAUA
Molecule: unclassified non-coding RNA, 534 nt
Filed under: uncultured Xerocomus
Lineage: Eukaryota; Fungi; Basidiomycota; Agaricomycetes; Boletales; Boletaceae
Description: sequence contains ITS1, 5.8S rRNA gene and ITS2
Rfam family: 5.8S ribosomal RNA (bases 143-297)
Source: RNAcentral